UGCGAUACACUUCUUGACCGUCUAGAUCAGCCAGGACGUUGGCACGUGUAGCGUAUUUUGUCGGGNUCUCUCGAGAUAAGGAAUCGUCGUCCCUUUGUUGGUUGGUUUCUCGUGUGCACGGUGGGUUCGUUGCUUUGUUACUUUCGCAUCGUUCGGUGCAUUCUGGGGGCUGUGAUGGCUUUUCGUGGCUUGCUUGGCCUUUUGGCUUGGCUUGUUGCUACUUGUCGGGCGGCCUUCGGGAAUGUCGACCGUGGAGGUGCAUGAGUGGUGUUUGGUUUGUUACGUGUGGAUGGCUGUUUGCUUGCGCAACAACGUUCACGCUGCAUACCUCUUCAGUUUUGCGGCAAGGCUUUGUUUGGCUUGUCCAUAUUGUGGGUUUCCUGUGUUGCAUACCUAGUUGAUGGAAAAGUAUGGGUUUUACGAUUUUCAUUUUCGUCCUGCGUCGUUCUUUCGGCAUGGGAUGAGCAAUGAAGCGAUCUUUAUGAUCCACCGUGCUGUUGCGUUUGCAACAAUGAUGUGGCCUAUGAAGCAUCGUUUGGUCUCUUGUAUACGGAAGCUCAUUUGGGCUUGGGUCUUUAUAAGAUCUUCGUUAUGCCCUUGUUAAGCGUUCUCGCUUCUCCUAAACGAUUG
RNAcentral lists this unclassified non-coding RNA (630 nucleotides) under Centaurea legionis-septimae. Its description in RNAcentral is "partial external transcribed spacer". The record is from RNAcentral. Lineage: Eukaryota; Viridiplantae; Streptophyta; Magnoliopsida; Asterales; Asteraceae.